GGGAUGGCUCAGAGGUUAAGAGCACUGGGUUCUCUUCCAGAGAACCUAGGUUCAAUUCCCAGCACCCA
This 68-nucleotide transfer RNA is filed under the name Mesocricetus auratus (golden hamster). It matches the Rfam family "tRNA". From Rfam's summary of the family: Transfer RNA (tRNA) molecules are approximately 80 nucleotides in length. Lineage: Eukaryota; Metazoa; Chordata; Mammalia; Rodentia; Cricetidae. The record is from Rfam by way of RNAcentral.